AAACUCAAAGGAAUUGACGGGGACCCGCACAAGCGGUGGAUGAUGUGGAUUAAUUCGAUGCAACGCGAAAAACCUUACCUGGCCUUGACAUGUACCGAAUUUACCAGAGAUGGUUUAGUGCUCGAAAGAGAACGGUAACACAGGUGCUGCAUGGCUGUCGUCAGCUCGUGUCGUGAGAUGUUGGGUUAAGUCCCGCAACGAGCGCAACCCUUGCCAAUAAUUGCCAUCAUUUAGUUGGGCACUUUAUUGGGACUGCCGGUGACAAACCGGAGGAAGGUGGGGAUGACGUCAAGUCCUCAUGGCCCUUAUGGCCAGGGCUUCACACGUAAUACAAUGGUCGGUACAGAGGGUCGCCAACCCGCGAGGGGGAGCUAAUCCCAGAAAGCCGAUCGUAGUCCGGAUUGCAGGCUGCAACUCGCCUGCAUGAAGUCGGAAUCGCUAGUAAUCGCGGAUCAGCAUGUCGCGGUGAAUACGUUCCCGGGUCUUGUACACACCGCCCGUCACACCAUGGGAGCGGGUUUCACCAGAAGUAGGUAGCCUAACCGUAAGGAGGGCGCUUACCACGGUGGGAUUCGUGACUGGGGUGAAGUCGUAACAAGGUAGCCGUA
This 608-nucleotide ribosomal RNA is filed under the name uncultured bacterium. Its description in RNAcentral is "bacterial SSU rRNA". It matches the Rfam family "Bacterial small subunit ribosomal RNA", at positions 897 to 1504 of the family's 1533-position model. The record is from RNAcentral.